Rhinopithecus roxellana (golden snub-nosed monkey) is the source of this 670-nucleotide long non-coding RNA. RefSeq lists it as uncharacterized. Lineage: Eukaryota; Metazoa; Chordata; Mammalia; Primates; Cercopithecidae. The record is from RefSeq and is a predicted model, not a curated record. The transcript is spliced from 3 exons.
AACCUCCCUGCUCUCAGGAGAACCUGGCACAGCAUGAUCACCAACUCAGAGGGAGGGAAGCAACCUUGAGUCAGCUCCCAGGCAGUAAUGAGUGCUCAAGGGAGAUAUAGCUCUAAGGAAAAGGAUUGAGGUCAUGGAAUUAGAAGAAACAGAUGGAAGAAUCAUUUGAACCAUAUCCAGGUCUUUUGAAAACGAUGAGACAGAAGAGAAAGAGACAAUUGCUUCAGACAAUUUUGCUGAGAAAUUUGCCUCAGAUAAGUUUUGAAGUAAGGUCAGAGAUCUAAGAUAUGAAAACCCCUAGGCAGGGGGCGAAAAGAAAAGAAAAGGAAAGAAAAAAAAAGAAAAGAGCAAAUACAUUCUUCCUUCUUAUCUUUGACUUCCCAGAGUAGCUUUACUAAGAUGCUGCCCAGUCGUUUCUCUCCAGACACUUUUGCCAAUUAUCUUAACACUAUAUAGGAACAUUUCUGGACUUGAUUCAUUAAUGAUUAGAAAGCUCUUAACUAGACGACCAGGCUACAGUCUCACCUGCCAGGCAGUGCAGCUGCAGAUCUUGGCUGACCAUCAUGUCAGCACCUACUAUGUAUCAGUCACUGUGUUAGGAGUUGGAAAUAUGAGGAAGACCAUAACUCUCACAAUGAGAAUACAAGGAAGACCAUCUCUCAAGAAAGGA